UCGUUAAUACCGCAUAACAUAAUUGAACCGCAUGAUUUGAUUAUCAAAGAUUUAUCGCUGAAAGAUGAGCUCGCGUCUGAUUAGCUAGUUGGUAAGGUAACGGCUUACCAAGGCGACGAUCAGUAGCCGGACUGAGAGGUUGAUCGGCCACAUUGGGACUGAGACACGGCCCAGACUCCUACGGGAGGCAGCAGUGGGGAAUAUUGCACAAUGGAGGAAACUCUGAUGCAGCGAUGCCGCGUGAGGGAAGAAGGUUUUAGGAUUGUAAACCUCUGUCUUCAGGGACGAAAAAAGACGGUACCUGAGGAGGAAGCUCCGGCUAACUACGUGCCAGCAGCCGCGGUAAUACGUAGGGAGCGAGCGUUGUCCGGAAUUACUGGGUGUAAAGGGAGCGUAGGCGGGAUCGCAAGUCAGAUGUGAAAACUAUGGGCUUAACCCAUAAACUGCAUUUGAAACUGUGGUUCUUGAGUGAAGUAGAGGUAAGCGGAAUUCCUAGUGUAGCGGUGAAAUGCGUAGAUAUUAGGAGGAACAUCAGUGGCGAAGGCGGCUUACUGGGCUUUAACUGACGCUGAGGCUCGAAAGCGUGGGGAGCAAACAGGAUUAGAUACCCUGGUAGUCCACGCCGUAAACGAUGAUUACUAGGUGUGGGGGGACUGACCCCUUCCGUGCCGCAGCAAACGCAAUAAGUAAUCCACCUGGGGAGUACGACCGCAAGGUUGAAACUCAAAGGAAUUGACGGGGGCCCGCACAAGCAGUGGAGUAUGUGGAUUAAUUCGAAGCAACGCGAAGAACCUUACCAGGUCUUGACAUCGUAUGCAUAGCUCAGAGAUGAGUGAAAUCUCUUCGGAGACAUAUAGACAGGUGGUGCAUGGUUGUCGUCAGCUCGUGUCGUGAGAUGUUGGGUUAAGUCCCGCAACGAGCGCAACCCUUACUGUUAGUUGCUACGCAAGAGCACUCUAGCAGGACUGCCGUUGACAAAACGGAGGAAGGUGGGGAUGACGUCAAAUCAUCAUGCCCCUUAUGACCUGGGCCUCACACGUACUACAAUGGCUGUCAACAGAGGGAAGCAAAGCCGCGAGGUGGAGCGAACCCCUAAAAGCAGUCUUAGUUCGGAUUGUAGGCUGCAACCCGCCUACAUGAAGUCGGAAUUGCUAGUAAUCGCAGAUCAGCAUGCUGCGGUGAAUACGUUCCCGGGCCUUGUACACACCGCCCGUCACGCCAUGGGAGUCGGUAACACCCGAAGCCUGUAGUCUAACCGCAAGGAGGACGCAGUCGAAGGUGGGAUUGAUGACUGGGGUGAAGUCGUAACAAGGUA
RNAcentral lists this ribosomal RNA (1315 nucleotides) under metagenome. Its description in RNAcentral is "bacterial SSU rRNA". It matches the Rfam family "Bacterial small subunit ribosomal RNA", at positions 160 to 1498 of the family's 1533-position model. The record is from RNAcentral.